Molecule: ribosomal RNA, 492 nt
Filed under: uncultured bacterium
Lineage: Bacteria
Description: partial 16S ribosomal RNA
Rfam family: Bacterial small subunit ribosomal RNA
Source: RNAcentral
AGUGAACGCUGGCGGUACGCCUAACACAUGCAAGUCGAACGGCAGCACAGUAAGAGCUUGCUCUUACGGGUGGCGAGUGGCGGACGGGUGAGGAAUACAUCGGAAUCUACUUUUUCGUGGGGGAUAACGUAGGGAAACUUACGCUAAUUCCGCAUACGACCUACGGGUGAAAGCAGGGGAUCUUCGGACCUUGCGCGAUUGAAUGAGCCGAUGUCGGAUUAGCUAGUUGGCGGGGUAAAGGCCCACCAAGGCGACGAUCCGUAGCUGGUCUGAGAGGAUGAUCAGCCACACUGGAACUGAGACACGGUCCAGACUCCUACGGGAGGCAGCAGUGGGGAAUAUUGGACAAUGGGCGCAAGCCUGAUCCAGCCAUACCGCGUGGGUGAAGAAGGCCUUCGGGUUGUAAAGCCCUUUUGUUGGGAAAGAAAAGCAGCAGGUUAAUACCCCGCUGUUCUGACGGUACCCAAAGAAUAAGCACCGGCUAACUUCGUG